Molecule: ribosomal RNA, 1385 nt
Filed under: Lactiplantibacillus plantarum
Lineage: Bacteria; Bacillati; Bacillota; Bacilli; Lactobacillales; Lactobacillaceae
Description: bacterial SSU rRNA
Rfam family: Bacterial small subunit ribosomal RNA
Source: RNAcentral
GAAUUGAUUGGUGCUUGCAUCAUGAUUUACAUUUGAGUGAGUGGCGAACUGGUGAGUAACACGUGGGAAACCUGCCCAGAAGCGGGGGAUAACACCUGGAAACAGAUGCUAAUACCGCAUAACAACUUGGACCGCAUGGUCCGAGUUUGAAAGAUGGCUUCGGCUAUCACUUUUGGAUGGUCCCGCGGCGUAUUAGCUAGAUGGUGGGGUAACGGCUCACCAUGGCAAUGAUACGUAGCCGACCUGAGAGGGUAAUCGGCCACAUUGGGACUGAGACACGGCCCAAACUCCUACGGGAGGCAGCAGUAGGGAAUCUUCCACAAUGGACGAAAGUCUGAUGGAGCAACGCCGCGUGAGUGAAGAAGGGUUUCGGCUCGUAAAACUCUGUUGUUAAAGAAGAACAUAUCUGAGAGUAACUGUUCAGGUAUUGACGGUAUUUAACCAGAAAGCCACGGCUAACUACGUGCCAGCAGCCGCGGUAAUACGUAGGUGGCAAGCGUUGUCCGGAUUUAUUGGGCGUAAAGCGAGCGCAGGCGGUUUUUUAAGUCUGAUGUGAAAGCCUUCGGCUCAACCGAAGAAGUGCAUCGGAAACUGGGAAACUUGAGUGCAGAAGAGGACAGUGGAACUCCAUGUGUAGCGGUGAAAUGCGUAGAUAUAUGGAAGAACACCAGUGGCGAAGGCGGCUGUCUGGUCUGUAACUGACGCUGAGGCUCGAAAGUAUGGGUAGCAAACAGGAUUAGAUACCCUGGUAGUCCAUACCGUAAACGAUGAAUGCUAAGUGUUGGAGGGUUUCCGCCCUUCAGUGCUGCAGCUAACGCAUUAAGCAUUCCGCCUGGGGAGUACGGCCGCAAGGCUGAAACUCAAAGGAAUUGACGGGGGCCCGCACAAGCGGUGGAGCAUGUGGUUUAAUUCGAAGCUACGCGAAGAACCUUACCAGGUCUUGACAUACUAUGCAAAUCUAAGAGAUUAGACGUUCCCUUCGGGGACAUGGAUACAGGUGGUGCAUGGUUGUCGUCAGCUCGUGUCGUGAGAUGUUGGGUUAAGUCCCGCAACGAGCGCAACCCUUAUUAUCAGUUGCCAGCAUUAAGUUGGGCACUCUGGUGAGACUGCCGGUGACAAACCGGAGGAAGGUGGGGAUGACGUCAAAUCAUCAUGCCCCUUAUGACCUGGGCUACACACGUGCUACAAUGGAUGGUACAACGAGUUGCGAACUCGCGAGAGUAAGCUAAUCUCUUAAAGCCAUUCUCAGUUCGGAUUGUAGGCUGCAACUCGCCUACAUGAAGUCGGAAUCGCUAGUAAUCGCGGAUCAGCAUGCCGCGGUGAAUACGUUCCCGGGCCUUGUACACACCGCCCGUCACACCAUGAGAGUUUGUAACACCCAAAGU